GUGGGGAAUAUUGGACAAUGGGCGCAAGCCUGAUCCAGCCAUGCCGCGUGAGUGAUGAAGGCCUUAGGGUUGUAAAGCUCUUUCGCCGGGGACGAUGAUGACGGUACCCGGAGAAGAAGCCCCGGCUAACUUCGUGCCAGCAGCCGCGGUAAUACGAAGGGGGCUAGCGUUGUUCGGAAUUACUGGGCGUAAAGCGCGCGUAGGCGGUCAGCCAAGUCAGGGGUGAAAGCCCGGGGCUCAACCUCGGAACUGCCCUUGAGACUGGUUGACUUGAGUAUGGAAGAGGGUCGUGGAAUUCCCAGUGUAGAGGUGAAAUUCGUAGAUAUUGGGAAGAACACCAGUGGCGAAGGCGGCGACCUGGUCCAUUACUGACGCUGAGGUGCGACAGCGUGGGGAGCAAACAGGAUUAGAUACCCUAGUAGUCC
Molecule: ribosomal RNA, 425 nt
Filed under: uncultured bacterium
Lineage: Bacteria
Description: partial 16S ribosomal RNA
Rfam family: Bacterial small subunit ribosomal RNA
Source: RNAcentral